UCUCAAGCAAAUUAAGAGCAUUUGGUGGAUGCCUUGGCAUCGAGAGGCGAUGAAAGACGUGGCACUCUGCGAUAAGCUGCGGGGAGGGGAGAGCACCCUUUGAUCCGUGGAUCUCUGAAUGGGGAAACCCGGCGCUUUAGCGUCAUCUCGGACUGAAUACAUAGGUUCGAGAAGCGAACCCGGCGAAGUGAAACAUCUCAGUAGCCGGAGGAAAGGACAUCAAUUGAGACUCCCCUAGUAGCGGCGAGCGAACGGGGA
Molecule: ribosomal RNA, 258 nt
Filed under: Rhodothermales bacterium
Lineage: Bacteria; Pseudomonadati; Rhodothermota; Rhodothermia; Rhodothermales
Description: partial 23S ribosomal RNA
Rfam family: Bacterial large subunit ribosomal RNA
Source: RNAcentral